Molecule: long non-coding RNA, 468 nt
Organism: Peromyscus leucopus (white-footed mouse)
Lineage: Eukaryota; Metazoa; Chordata; Mammalia; Rodentia; Cricetidae
Exons: 2
Source: RefSeq, a predicted model, not a curated record
GUGCAGAACACACCAGUUAAGCCCGAAUCAGGAAGCCGCACUAAGGUGAGGCACAGGGCAGGGGUCCGUGGGACCCAGUAACUGAAGAACAGAGGAGGAUGAAGACAAACGGAGUCCAGGCCAUGCUGAACUCAGAUCACGCUGAGCAUCUUCCUAUUGCAGAAGCCAGCCAUGCCUACAUGCAGAAUUCUCGGCUCCUUCUCCAUGUCUGCCUGUGCACCACCAUGCUUCCUGCCCUGACGACAACAGACGAAAGCUCUGAAACUGUGAGCCAGCCCCAGAGAGAUGUUUUCCUCACUGAGAGUUGCCAUGGACACGAUAUCCCUUCACAGCAACAGAAGCCCUAACUGAGACACUUAUGUUUGACAGUUUCGUACAUAAAUCAUUUUUCCGUCAUUUUCAUACCUGUUUUUCCUCCCUCCCUCUCCUGCUCGCCCUUCUUCUCAAUAAAUCUCCCCUCCACCUCCA